Molecule: ribosomal RNA, 756 nt
Filed under: Triticum aestivum (bread wheat)
Lineage: Eukaryota; Viridiplantae; Streptophyta; Magnoliopsida; Poales; Poaceae
Description: partial small subunit ribosomal RNA
Source: RNAcentral
AUGGAGGAGGAAAAUUUGCAGCCUUCCGCUAAUGAUGAACAGGAAGAUUCCCUUUCAUUUAUUUUUGAUCCAAGAACAUGGGAAAUUCUUGACAAUAGCAAAAGGGAUAUUUUAAUUGAGAAGGGACCUAUUAGAGUACCAGAUCUGGAGUUCGAGAAGGACACCAUUGAUAGACACUUUUCAUAUGCUUUUUACUCCAGGAAGUUAAGUAAUGGUGAGUUUGUUGACAGAAAGUGGUUGGUUUACCACAAAGGUGCAAACAAAGUAUAUUGUUUUUGUUGCAAGUUGUUCAAAUCAAAACUGAGCAAGUCUAUGCUAACAUCUGAUGGAUUGAAUGACUGGAAGCGUUUGAGUGCGCAUCUCAAAGAUCACGAGAAAAGUGUUGAGCAUUUAACAAACAUGAAUACAUGGAAUGAAGUUAGGUUGAGACUAAGCAAAAAUCAGACAAUUGAUGAUGACAUGCAAAGGGAGAUUGCAAAGGAGAAGAAGCGUUGGAGACAAGUUUUGGUAAGAAUAGUUUCGGCUGUGAAGUUUCUUGCAAAACAUACUUUGGCUUUUCGUGGAUCAAAUGAGAAGUUGUAUCAAGAUAAUAAUGGUAAUUUUCUAGGCAUAAUUGAAAUGUUUGCUGAAUUUGAUCCUGUUAUGCAAGAACACAUCCCGCGUAUUCAAAAUAGUGAAAUCCAUCAUCACUAUCUUGGCCACAAAAUCCAGAAUGAGUUGAUCUCAGUUCUUGCUGAUGCUGUGAGAAUAUUUUAA